GCGGGCGUAGCUCAGGGGUAGAGCACAACCUUGCCAAGGUUGGGGUCGAGAGUUCGAAUCUCUUCGCCCGCU
This is a transfer RNA of Erythrobacter litoralis, 72 nucleotides long. It matches the Rfam family "tRNA". From Rfam's summary of the family: Transfer RNA (tRNA) molecules are approximately 80 nucleotides in length. Their secondary structure includes four short double-helical elements and three loops (D, anti-codon, and T loops). Lineage: Bacteria; Pseudomonadati; Pseudomonadota; Alphaproteobacteria; Sphingomonadales; Erythrobacteraceae. The record is from Rfam.